AUGGAAGAUUUUGAGGAUUUUUUAACUGAAGCUGAUUUGGUAGACCUACCAUUAAAAGGGAGGAGGUUUACAUGGUCAAACUUGAGUGGGUCAUCGAUGAGUAGAAUUGAUAGGAUGUUGUUGUCGGAGCGAUGGUUCCAUCAUUGGCCGGAGUGUUAUCAAAGGUGUCUGGAGAAAGGAUUAUCUGAUCAUUACCCUAUAAUGCUUUUUGAUAAAGUUGAGAAUUGGGGCCCGAAAUCAUCUCGUAUAUUUGACAUUUGGAGAGAGUUAGAAGGAUAUCGUAAGGUUGUCGAAGAUUCUUGGAAUUCUAUGGAUGUGCAAGGAUGGGAGGAUAUGUUCUUAAAGAAAAGCUUAAGAAGAUUAAAGGGACUCUUAAAGUUUGGAGUAAAGGUCACUCGGAGAAUCUUGAUCAGAAAAUAG
Vicia faba (fava bean) is the source of this 420-nucleotide non-coding RNA. The record is from the annotation of a GenBank genome assembly. NCBI's taxonomy places the organism in Eukaryota, Viridiplantae, Streptophyta, Magnoliopsida, Fabales, Fabaceae.